CUUAGUUUCCAGAAUGACACUCCUGAAUUUUUAAUCAAAAACCAUUUCAUGUCUUUGAAACACAAGAGUGAAAUUUAUAUGGUUAGUAUGUAACUGGAAUCAUAAUGCUUGAAGAGAAGCCACCUCCUGAAGCUACUUAGGUGAAUUUCUAGGCUUUCAUAAAAAUGGAAAAAAACCCUCAGAAAGCGUACACUGCCACAUUUUCCCACCCAGGUCGGCAUAAAUAGAGACAGAGAGAACUAGAGAGCCAGCAAGAGACAACAGAGUCCUGACGUCUUUUCAGGGAAAGUUGAGGAGACGAGUGAGGUAAUGCGCGUUAAAAUGAAAGGAAACACCUUAGCUGCACCCUUUCCUGGGGGCAGGGUGUCACCGAACACGUCAUUUUCCCAGAAUCCUUCGUGAUUUAGUAAUAGAAGUGUCCUUUGACAUAUAGGAAAAUAUAAUUUCCGAAGAGUGAAGCGACUUCGUGGAAACACAGGAUCCCAUCCAGGAGGCCAUUUAGUCAUCAUGUCUCCUCAGGAGCCUCCAGACUGUGGCAGUUUCUCAGACUUCCCUUGUUUUUGGUGACCUUGACAGUUUGGAGCAACUCUGGUUAAAUAUUUUGUAGACUGUCCCUCAAUUUGUACUCAUGUGAUCUUUUUCCUCAUGACUAGACAGAGGUUAUGAAUUUGGAGAAGAAGAACACAGAGGUAGAGUACCAUUUUCAUCACAUAUCGAGGUGACAUGCUAUCGACAUGGCUUACUACUGAUGAUGCUAAGCUUGGUCACUUGGCUGAGGUCGUGGUUCUUAAGGUUUCUCUGCUGUAAGCUUACUCUUUUCGUCUCUUUCCCUACUGUACUUUUUGGAAGGAAGUCACUAUGAGUAGCCCAUAUUUAAUUAAGGAGUAGAAGUUAUCGCCACGUCCUUGAAGGGGCAGUAUAUAUACAAACCAUUUGGCAUUCUUCGGCAUGGAUUAGUUAUUUAUUCAGUUGUUU
RNAcentral lists this long non-coding RNA (975 nucleotides) under Equus caballus (horse). RNAcentral's name for it is "lncRNA (ENSECAG00000059362.1)". The record is from RNAcentral. Lineage: Eukaryota; Metazoa; Chordata; Mammalia; Perissodactyla; Equidae.